GAUGAACGCUGGCGGUGUGCUUAACACAUGCAAGUCGAACGGCAACGCCCUACGUGCGUGGGGUGCCCGAGUGGGGAACGCGUGAGUAACACGUGAGUAACCUGCUCUUGACUUUGGGAUAACUUCAGGAAACUGGGGCUAAUAUCGGAUAGGAGCUCCUGCUGCAUGGAGGGGGUUGGAAAGUUUCGGCGGUUGGGGAUGGAUUCGCGGCUUUUCAGCUGGUGGGUGGGGUAGUGGCUUACCAAGGCUGUGACGGGUAGCCGGCCUGAGAGGGUGGCCGGCGACAAGGGGCCUGCGAUACGGCCCAGACUCCUACGGGGGACAGAAGUGGGGAGUAUUGCACAAUGGGCGGAAGCCUGAUGAGACAACGCCGCGGGCGGGAUGACGGCCUUUGGGUUAUAAACCGCUUUAGCCUGUGACGAAGCGUUAGUGACGGUAAUGGGUAAAGAAGCACCGGCUAACUACGUG
RNAcentral lists this ribosomal RNA (468 nucleotides) under uncultured bacterium. Its description in RNAcentral is "partial 16S ribosomal RNA". It matches the Rfam family "Bacterial small subunit ribosomal RNA", at positions 28 to 507 of the family's 1533-position model. The record is from RNAcentral.